GUGGGGCAGCAGGGGUAGUAAUACCCGCUGGCGACCGGCAAACGGGUGCGGAACACGUACGCAACCUUCCUUUAACUGGAGAAUAGCCCCUCGAAAGAGGGAUUAAUACUCCGUAACAUGUACAUGUGGCAUCACAAGUACAUUAUAGCUCCGGCGGUUAAAGAUGGGCGUGCGCCUGAUUAGAUAGUUGGCGGGGUAACGGCCCACCAAGUCUGCGAUCAGUAACUGGUGUGAGAGCACGACCAGUCACACGGGCACUGAGACACGGGCCCGACUCCUACGGGAGGCAGCAGUAAGGAAUAUUGGUCAAUGGACGCAAGUCUGAACCAGCCAUGCCGCGUGGAGGAUUAAGGCCCUCUGGGUUGUAAACUCCUUUUAUCUGGGAAGAAAUCCACGAAUUCUUUUGUGGUUGACGGUACCAGAGGAAUAAGCACCGGCUAACUCCGUGCCAGCAGCCGCGGUAAUACGGAGGGUGCAAGCGUUAUCCGGAUUCACUGGGUUUAAAGGGUGCGUAGGCGGGCAGGUAAGUCCGUGGUGAAAUCUCUGAGCUUAACUCAGAAACUGCCAUGGAUACUAUUUGUCUUGAAUAUUGUGGAGGUGAGCGGAAUAUGUCAUGUAGCGGUGAAAUGCUUAGAUAUGACAUAGAACACCAAUUGCGAAGGCAGCUCACUACACAGUUAUUGACGCUGAGGCACGAAAGCGUGGGGAUCAAACAGGAUUAGAUACCCUGGUAGUCCACGCCCUAAACGAUGAUUACUCGACAUCAGCGAUACACUGUUGGUGUCUGAGCGAAAGCAUUAAGUAAUCCACCUGGGAAGUACGAUCGCAAGAUUGAAACUCAAAGGAAUU
Molecule: ribosomal RNA, 849 nt
Filed under: uncultured Sphingobacteriia bacterium
Lineage: Bacteria; Pseudomonadati; Bacteroidota; Sphingobacteriia
Description: bacterial SSU rRNA
Rfam family: Bacterial small subunit ribosomal RNA
Source: RNAcentral